Perognathus longimembris pacificus (Pacific pocket mouse) is the source of this 255-nucleotide long non-coding RNA. RefSeq lists it as uncharacterized. Lineage: Eukaryota; Metazoa; Chordata; Mammalia; Rodentia; Heteromyidae. The record is from RefSeq and is a predicted model, not a curated record. The transcript has 4 exons.
AGGAUCCUCUUGCCUGCCUUCCUUGGCUGGUUUUGCAGGCAUGUACCAUGAUGCCUAGCUCCACAGCCAGAAUUUAAAAGUGUUUUUAAUAUGUCAGUUAUUAACCCAGCCUACUACUAUAUGAUCGAACGAAGUUAAAUAUAUCUGUACAUAAUAAUAGCACAUUCUCUAUGACAAAGAUCACUGGGAGGCACUGAAAUUAAGGGAAAUAAUCUAGAAGUCACUAGUUCCUGAAAAUCAACAGGUUCUGGCUUC